RNAcentral lists this ribosomal RNA (476 nucleotides) under uncultured bacterium. RNAcentral's name for it is "bacterial SSU rRNA". It matches the Rfam family "Bacterial small subunit ribosomal RNA", at positions 1 to 507 of the family's 1533-position model. The record is from RNAcentral.
UCUCCGACUCAGCGUACGAUACGAGUUUGAUCCUGGCUCAGAACGAACGCUGGCGGCAGGCUUAACACAUGCAAGUCGAACGGUUGUAGCAAUACAGCAGUGGCAGACGGGUGAGUAACACGUGGGAACCUUCCUAGGGGUACGGAACAACUCAGGGAAACUUGAGCUAAUACCGUAUACGUCCGUGAGGAGAAAGAUUUAUCGCCCUUAGACGGGCCCGCGUCGGAUUAGCUAGUUGGUGGGGUAACGGCCUACCAAGGCGACGAUCCGUAGCUGAUCUUAGAGGAUGAUCAGCCACACUGGGACUGAGACACGGCCCAGACUCCUACGGGAGGCAGCAGUGGGGAAUCUUGGACAAUGGGCGCAAGCCUGAUCCAGCCAUGCCGCGUGAGUGAAGAAGGUCUUCGGAUUGUAAAGCUCUUUUACCAGGGACGAUGAUGACGGUACCUGGAGAAUAAGCCCCGGCAAACUUCGUG